This 340-nucleotide long non-coding RNA is filed under the name Panax ginseng (ginseng). Its description in RNAcentral is "long non-coding RNA (PGIN_LNC000458)". Lineage: Eukaryota; Viridiplantae; Streptophyta; Magnoliopsida; Apiales; Araliaceae. The record is from RNAcentral.
GCAAAAUGAUGAUUUUGGCCCUCACGUGAGUUAUCUCCGGUUCUGUGCAGAUGUCGUAGUCGUUGCUCAAGGUUAUCUCUAAGAUUGAGCUGUUGUGAGUACUGAAUGCCCUCAAGGUUAUCUCUAAGGUGCCUUGACCUCCCGGGGUUAUCUCCGGGGUUGGAAUUGAGUGUCCCGGGGUCGUCUCCGGGUUUUGAACUGACUAUUCUGGGGUUAUCUCCGGAACUGCUUCUCUCGAGGUUAUCUUUGAGGUUUGUAACUAUGCAUCCUGGGGUUAUCUCCAGGAUUAAAACUGAGUAUCUCGGGGUUGUCUCUGAGAUUAAAAACUGAGUAUCCCGAG